AUGGCUAGACCGGCAGCGGUGAUUAUGUGCGCGGUAUUCAUAGUGGUGGUGCCGCUGAGCGCGGUGGUGGCGGAGUUGGAGUGCAGACCGCAGUUGCUCCUGGCUUGCGAUCCAGCCAUCAGAGACGGCAAGGCUCCUACGACAUUGUGCUGCUCGAACCUCCGAGCGGAGGAGGUGUGCAUCUGCAAGUACCGGCAGGAUCCGAUGUACCGGCGCUACAUCCCUGGCCCCUACUUCCCAGAGAUAACCACCUCAUGCGGCAUACAUCUUGAGUGUCUAUUUAUAUAA
RNAcentral lists this ribosomal RNA (288 nucleotides) under Triticum aestivum (bread wheat). RNAcentral's name for it is "partial small subunit ribosomal RNA". Lineage: Eukaryota; Viridiplantae; Streptophyta; Magnoliopsida; Poales; Poaceae. The record is from RNAcentral.